UAUAAUUAGUGAAUUUCUUAAUCAGUGGUAUUACAUCUUACGUUGAUACAUUUGUGAAGAGCUUUGUUAUCUACGGCCAGUUGAAAGGCAUUUUAACUAUUAACCGAAGUAUUGAAAUCUUUUAUCAAAAGUCUUAACGUUAACGACAAACGAAUAAAAGAUUGUAUUAGAGUUUAAUUCGAUAUCUUCCAUUGUACCUUCCAAUAUAAUAAUGUAAAGUUUAUUAACGAGAAGUAGAAUCAUAUAUCUAAUUAAAAAUAAACAACUAAUAGAUUUCGUUCCAUUACAAAGAUAUAUAUACAUACAUUUAUGCGUACACAUUAAAAGUAUUGCUAAUAAAAAAUCAAUAGGAUUAUAGAAAACAUUUCAUUGUAAAUUGAUGCCGAAAAUAACAAAUACCCUUCAAUAAUGUGUAAUUUUUUCUUUUUCUAUCAAGUAUUAAUUUCUUUUUAAUCAAUUUAAACAUUUUUAGUUCAUAAUGUAUCAAUAACAAUAUCAGAUAUUUAAUUUUGGCUCAUUGCAGAACAAAGGUUGCUCGUUACUGUCCAUACAAUAUAAGAAAAUCUCAAGCAAUACCCAAGAGAAAGACUACUGUAUACUUUGUGUAUGUGUGCGUGGGUGUGUAUAUUAUGUAUCUAGUUAUGUACAUAUGUAUCUAUUUACAAACGUAUGUUUAUAUGGGAUCUUCCAACAUUCCACCUUGGUGGUUGCCGAAAGACUGAUCUCAUACGAUAUUCGACAGAAAGUAAAUAACAUAAGGUGGAUUUAGAUAUUUCAGCUUAUAGAGAAACAUAUAAACAUUGUAAUAAGAUUUGCUUUGUAUACGUCAGCUAGUAAAUGGUAUAAACAUUCUCUUUUUC
Long non-coding RNA from Vespula vulgaris, 860 nucleotides. RefSeq lists it as uncharacterized. The record is from RefSeq and is a predicted model, not a curated record. NCBI's taxonomy places the organism in Eukaryota, Metazoa, Arthropoda, Insecta, Hymenoptera, Vespidae. The transcript has 3 exons.